RNAcentral lists this ribosomal RNA (411 nucleotides) under uncultured bacterium. Its description in RNAcentral is "bacterial SSU rRNA". It matches the Rfam family "Bacterial small subunit ribosomal RNA", at positions 30 to 443 of the family's 1533-position model. The record is from RNAcentral.
AUUGAACGCUGGCGGCAUGCCUUACACAUGCAAGUCGAACGGCAGCACGGGAGCAAUCCUGGUGGCGAGUGGUGAACGGGUGAGUAAUAUAUCGGAACGUGCCCGGUCGUGGGGGAUAACGUAGCGAAAGCUACGCUAAUACCGCAUACGAUCUACGGAUGAAAGCGGGGGAUCGCAAGACCUCGCGCGAUUGGAGCGGCCGAUAUCAGAUUAGGUAGUUGGUGAGGUAAAGGCUCACCAAGCCGACGAUCUGUAGCUGGUCUGAGAGGACGACCAGCCACACUGGGACUGAGACACGGCCCAGACUCCUACGGGAGGCAGCAGUGGGGAAUUUUGGACAAUGGGCGCAAGCCUGAUCCAGCAAUGCCGCGUGCAGGAUGAAGGCCUCGGUUGUAACUAGCUUUGUUACGG